AUUACAAUGUUACUAUGGCUGGAGUCUGUUAGGUCAGAAAAACAUCAACCCAGAAAAAUUGUAACUGCAAAUAGAAAGUUUCAUUACUAAAACAAAAAUAAAAAACUAAAUAAUUGGUCUUGCCAAAAGAAUUUGAGAGAAACAGAGAAUACAGUUGACCCUUUGUACCACUAACAAAGUCUGAUCAGCACUUGGAAAUGAGUAGAGCUCACUAUCAAGUUUCAGGUGUGAAUAUGCAGUGACCAUCUUUCUUCAAACAUAUUAUACUAAAUUCCACUAGUUGAAAAAUGGAAAUAUACCAGAGAGAUUCACAGGUUAUUUUUAUUCUAUGUUAGUGCUCUCCAAUAAACAACAGUGUCAGGUCAAUGAGAUAAUGCUCAGCCUCUAAGAAAUUAAGUAUUAGUGAGUUUUGCCAUGCUCUAUUUUGGCUUCAAUUAUCCUUCUAACUACAAAUUGCAUUCGUGUCUGUGGUUCACAACUACAGAUUGCCAAGUUCAAUUUCUUUCAAGUUGUUAAUAAUGUCUUCAACCCUUAUAGACAUAAAAUCAGCAUGUUCUUCAAUAUCUUUAAGAAUCAUGUGUAGCUGUUGUUGAAUUGCUGCAGAUCGUUCUCUUUCACGCUGCAGCUCAUCAUAUAAAUCCUGGAUUUUCUUAUCCUUCUCCUCCUGCAAUCAUGUUGGAGAAUGGAGGGUUGAAGAAUGAUGGUAAAGCCAAAUACAGAAGUAUGGUCAGAAACAUGAAGGGAAAAAAUAUGAUCAGGAGAACUGGAUGAAUGAAUUAUAGCAUAUUACUAUUUUUCCCAGAAUCAUCACCAGCAAAGAAUUUUAAGAACCUAUGUGCAAGUGCAAACUAUUGGUCUUACACAUGUAUUGAUAGACAAUGGAUUUUCUAGCCAUGCCUUUUGCAUAUUUUUUUAAUCACGCAUUCCUAGCACUUCAGUAGUUAUGCAAGCUUGACAGCACUAAUAUAUCAAUGGAUGAGAGCGAAUGAAAACAUGGCAAAAUAUAGGUGGAAACGGUUUAAAACUCCUAGCAUAUGAAUUACAAUAACCAUAAGAAAAGCACAGGACUGAAGUUUAUAAUAUAUACUCCUUGAAUAGCUUGAUGACAAAUAGCCACUGAACUCCAUAUACAUUGCUGUGAACAAUGUUUCUGUGUAAUAUCCACACAUGCACAUUAAAGAAAUGACUCAGUUUCAUAAGGUUGAAUCAGUUUAUGAAUUUUAGCAGCAGAAGACAUGGGUUUUGGAUGAGAUGAGGUGUCCCAGCAAGGGGAAAAAAUGAGUGAAGUUCAAGAACAUAGAUUUGGAAUUUCAGGAAAUCCAAAUACGGGUUAAGCCCCAAGAAUUAGUAGAGCUGUUAAUGUGAAGUUCAAAAUCUGAGAACUAAAAAUCCAUACUGUAAUUCAAGAUGCAGGAUUGAAGCCUAAUUAUAAAUACGAAAACAGUUAUGCUAAUGCUAUCUCAAACAUACCUCACUGAGUAUAUUUAUGGUUGGCAAUUCUCCAGGAAAAUUACAGUGAGUCAUUAAUUUGUGGUUGUGCUCUCGCAAAAAUUUGGUAACUACCCAUAUGCCACCAUCUCUUGCAGCCAACCUUAUCAUGGCUUUGCAUCCUUCUCUAGUAAUAGGCCUAGGGGGAAGAAUUCUAUCUUUUCUCAGUGCAUGCUUUGCAGCACGAAAACCUUCUCUAGAACAGACAAAGUCACGUCCUAUGACUGCCAUGUUCUUUAGCGAAUGUCUGAUCCGAUUUGUUCGAAUAGUGAAACCUGUCCGCUUGGCAUAAUCAUAAUAGAAAUCUCUUGCAUCAUCUAAUGAUGCAAAUGUCAUCCCAUUAUAUGGUUCUAAAUUGUUAGCACUUAAAUUUUUUAUUGAUGGUUCUGUAUAAGUUUCUGCACCAUUUUGCAAAUUGCAGUUUGGCAACAGUCCAUCUUCUGUGUAUUCAUGUUCCUCACAAGUUUCAAGAGUUUCAUCAUCUGAGCCCCCAUCACUAUCUAGAAAUUCGUGUCCAUCAGUGGUGCUGGUCAUUCCGUCCCCAGAAAGGGAAAUUCUAUCCAAUAAACCUAACAGAAUGGAUACAAUUGCACUCCUAGCCGUAAGCAAUGGUUACUGAUGCUAAGCACACCAACACCUUCAUCGCUGUAGGUAAGAGAACGCAUCAAGUAUUUGAGUUUGGUUAUUGAGGUGAGUGUUAACAGCAGCUUUUUGAGAUCCUUUUCGCCACUUGGCAGUUUCAAGUGAUUCAGUGUGGUUCGGGUGUGUGCUCAAGAGUAGAGGGAGUAUGGAAAGAUUGUUUCUUGAAAUGGAGAUGGAGUGAGGAAUUCAGAUAGGGGAUCUGGAGGCAGAUAUUUGAUCUAGCGGUCAAUAUUUAGCAAGGAUCAAGGACAGGCAAGUAUUAAAAGUUCAUUAUUCUAUCAAACACCAAAUUAUUAUUAUUAUUAUAUUUUGUGGUUACUUGUAUAAGCUUUAUUAUAAAAGAUAAAAUAAUUUAAUA
This 2488-nucleotide unclassified non-coding RNA is filed under the name Hevea brasiliensis (rubber tree). The record is from RNAcentral. Lineage: Eukaryota; Viridiplantae; Streptophyta; Magnoliopsida; Malpighiales; Euphorbiaceae.